Molecule: ribosomal RNA, 259 nt
Filed under: uncultured soil bacterium
Lineage: Bacteria
Description: partial 16S ribosomal RNA
Rfam family: Bacterial small subunit ribosomal RNA
Source: RNAcentral
AGAUUGAACGCUGGCGGCAUGCCUAACACAUGCAAGUCGAACGGGAGUAGCAAUACUCUAGUGGCGGACGGGUGAGGAAUACGUAGGAAUUUGCCCUUAAGUGGGGGAUAACCCGGGGAAACCCGGAUUAAUACCGCAUGACUUCGAAAGAGCAAAGUGGGGGAUCGCAAGACCUCACGCUUUUGGAGAAGCCUACGUCGGAUUAGCUAGUUGGUGAGGUAAUGGCUCACCGAAGGCGACGAUCCGUAACUGGUCUGAG